This 468-nucleotide ribosomal RNA is filed under the name uncultured bacterium. RNAcentral describes it as "partial 16S ribosomal RNA". It matches the Rfam family "Bacterial small subunit ribosomal RNA", at positions 28 to 507 of the family's 1533-position model. The record is from RNAcentral.
GACGAACGCUGGCGGCGUGCUUAACACAUGCAAGUCGAACGGAAAGGCCCUGCUUUUGUAGGGUGCUCGAGUGGCGAACGGGUGAGUAACACGUGAGUAACCUGCCCUUGACUUUGGGAUAACUUCAGGAAACUGGGGCUAAUACCGGAUAGGAGCUCCUGCUGCAUGGUGGGGGUUGGAAAGUUUCGGCGGUUGGGGAUGGACUCGCGGCUUAUCAGCUUGUUGGUGGGGUAGUGGCUUACCAAGGCUUUGACGGGUAGCCGGGCUGAGAGGGUGACCGGCCACAUUGGGACUGAGAUACGGCCCAGACUCCUACGGGAGGCAGCAGUGGGGAAUAUUGCACAAUGGGCGGAAGCCUGAUGCAGCAACGCCGCGUGCGGGAUGACGGCCUUCGGGUUGUAAACCGCUUUCGCCUGUGACGAAGCGUGAGUGACGGUAAUGGGUAAAGAAGCACCGGCUAACUACGUG